RNAcentral lists this ribosomal RNA (533 nucleotides) under uncultured bacterium. RNAcentral describes it as "bacterial SSU rRNA". It matches the Rfam family "Bacterial small subunit ribosomal RNA", at positions 97 to 665 of the family's 1533-position model. The record is from RNAcentral.
GGCAGACGGGUGAGUAACGCGUGGGAACGUACCCUUUGGUUCGGAAUAGCCCUUGGAAACGAGGAGUAAUACCGAAUGAGCCCUACGGGGGAAAGAUUUAUCGCCGAGGGAUCGGCCCGCGUUAGAUUAGCUAGUUGGUGAGGUAAUGGCUCACCAAGGCGACUAUCUAUAGCUGGUUUGAGAGGAUGAUCACCCACACUGGGACUGAGACACGGCCCAGACUCCUACGGGAGGCAGCAGUGGGGAAUCUUGGACAAUGGGGGAAACCCUGAUCCAGCCAUGCCGCGUGAAUGAUGAAGGCCUUAGGGUUGUAAAAUUCUUUCAGUGGGGAAGAUAAUGACGGUACCCACAGAAGAAGCCCCGGCUAACUCCGUGCCAGCAGCCGCGGUAAUACGGAGGGGGCUAGCGUUGUUCGGAAUUACUGGGCGUAAAGCGCGCGGAGGCGGACUAUCCUGUCAGAGGUGAAAGCCCAGGGCUCAACCCUGGAACUGCCUUUGAUACUGUUAGUCUGGAGUCCGGGAGAGGUGUGUGGA